This 612-nucleotide long non-coding RNA is filed under the name Marmota monax (woodchuck). Lineage: Eukaryota; Metazoa; Chordata; Mammalia; Rodentia; Sciuridae. The record is from RNAcentral.
GCAUGUGGAAGACCAAGACCUGCAGCUGCAUUUGUGUUUAUCUUCAAGCUAAGUUAGCCCGGAUAUCUCAGAAACAGUACGUGCCUACAUACUCCUGGAGCUCCUGCGCAAACCUGUACAAUCCAUAGUUUUGGCUCUCUCCGGUUAUACGACUCUGAGCAUCAUCACUUUUGGAGGAACAACCAGCCUCAUAAGGGAUUCCAGAUGUUAUUUCUGCCACUUUUGAACCCCAGUGGGUAGGAAAAAAUGUCAGAACACGGAGCAGACUCCCUUGUGGGACUUCCCCACCCAUCGUUUAAAUCCAACGCAAUAUAGCCAAGUCAUUCUUACUGACUCAUAAGAUGAACAUGUUUCAAGGGGCAAAGCUUUCCAAUGCAAUUUUCAAAUAAUAGUCUUAAACAGGUAUGCAGGGGAAAGAGCUCUGGAGAAGGAGCAUGCUGAACUGAUGUCUGUUGAAUACUCACUCUGGACAGACAGCUACAGCACCAUGAUCAGGGCCGUGGGAGUUUAGGGUGAGUCUGUGCAUUCCUUUGUGAGUAUAAUUACCUCUCAUCACCUGGUUUCCACUCAGUGUCUUUCCCAUUUCUGUCAAUGUUGCCUACACUGAGUCAU